Molecule: small RNA, 811 nt
Filed under: Pongo abelii (Sumatran orangutan)
Lineage: Eukaryota; Metazoa; Chordata; Mammalia; Primates; Hominidae
Description: processed transcript
Source: RNAcentral
UGCUUCUAGGAAGUAGAGCGCCGGCUCGCAUGCCUGCCCGCCCGCCAGCUUGCCGGAAUGAAACUAGUGAUCGAGAAGAUGGCCUCCCCAAAGGACAUCAUGUGACAGACUCUGAGAAUGAUGAGCCCUUAAAUCUUAAUGCUAGUGACUCUGAAAGUGAGGAGCUUCACAGGCAAAAGGACAGCGACUCUGAAUCUGAGGAACGUGCAGAGCCUCCUGCAAGCGAUUCUGAAAAUGAGGAUGUCAAUCAGCAUGGGAGCGACUCUGAGAGUGAAGAGACCAGGAAAUUACCUGGUAGUGACUCUGAAAAUGAGGAGCUUCUUAAUGGGCAUGCAAGUGACUCAGAAAACGAAGAUGUUGGGAAGCAUCCCGCCAGUGAUUCUGAGAUGGAGGAGCUCCAGAAGAGUCCUGCCAGUGACUCUGAAACAGAAGAUGCUCUAAAACCUCAAAUCAGUGACUCUGAGAGUGAGGAACGCCCAAGGCACCAAGCCAGUGACUCCGAAAAUGAGGAGCCUCCCAAACCUCGAAUGAGUGAUUCUGAAAGUGAGGAGCUUCCUAAACCUCAGGUCAGUGAUUCAGAAAGUGAGGAACCCCCAAGGCACCAGGCCAGUGACUCUGAAAAUGAGGAGCUUCCCAAACCUCGUAUCAGUGACUCAGAAAGUGAGGACCCUCCGAGGCACCAGGCCAGUGACUCAGAAAAUGAAGAGCUUCCCAAACCCCGAAUCAGUGAUUCGGAAAGUGAGGAUCCCCCAAGGAACCAGGCCAGUGAUUCUGAAAAUGAGGAGCUACCCAAACCCCGAGUCAGUGACUC